CCGACGGGUAUGCUUAGUACGGCGAGUGAGCGGCAAAAGCUCAAAUUUGAAAUCUGGCGUCUUCGACGUCCGAGUUGUAAUUUGAAGAAGGCGACUUUGUAGCUGGUCCUUGUCUAUGUUCCUUGGAACAGGACGUCAUAGAGGGUGAGAAUCCCGUGUGGCGAGGAUCCCAGUUAUUUGUAAAGUGCUUUCGACGAGUCGAGUUGUUUGGGAAUGCAGCUCUAAGUGGGUGGUAAAUUCCAUCUAAAGCUAAAUAUUGGCGAGAGACCGAUAGCGAACAAGUACAGUGAUGGAAAGAUGAAAAGAACUUUGAAAAGAGAGUGAAAAAGUACGUGAAAUUGUUGAAAGGGAAGGGCAUUUGAUCAGACAUGGCGUUUGCUUCGGCUUUCGCUGGGCCAGCAUCAGUUUUAGCGGUUGGAUAAAUCCUCGGGAAUGUGGCUCUGCUUCGGUAGAGUGUUAUAGCCCGUGGGAAUACAGCCAGCUGGGACUGAGGAUUGCGACUUUUGUCAAGGAUGCUGGCGUAAUGGUUAAAUGCCGCCCGUCUUGAACCACGGACCCA
RNAcentral lists this ribosomal RNA (559 nucleotides) under Kluyveromyces marxianus. Its description in RNAcentral is "partial large subunit ribosomal RNA". It matches the Rfam family "Eukaryotic large subunit ribosomal RNA", at positions 65 to 669 of the family's 3401-position model. Lineage: Eukaryota; Fungi; Ascomycota; Saccharomycetes; Saccharomycetales; Saccharomycetaceae. The record is from RNAcentral.